CGGGGCAUAGCGCAGAUGGUAGCGCGCUUGGUUCGGGACCAUGAGGUCGCAGGUUCAAGUCCUGUUGCCCCGACCA
Molecule: transfer RNA, 76 nt
Filed under: Clostridium tepidiprofundi DSM 19306
Lineage: Bacteria; Bacillati; Bacillota; Clostridia; Eubacteriales; Clostridiaceae
Description: tRNA-Pro
Rfam family: tRNA
About the family: Transfer RNA (tRNA) molecules are approximately 80 nucleotides in length. Their secondary structure includes four short double-helical elements and three loops (D, anti-codon, and T loops).
Source: RNAcentral